UGACAUUUGUUAUGACAUCCGCUUCAAACAUUACAAUGCUAAUGAUAACAACUCUACAAUAAGUAAAUCAACUUCAGCAGAUAAUUACUCUUCGACAGCGAAGCCUUAGAAAUACACAGCUACCAUAAAAACGGAAGUUCGAAGACAAAAUUCUAAAGAUGGCGGCGCUCUUGUUUCUCUGGCGCAAAAGGGCUAUAAUUUGGUUGGAAAUGUUCAUAUUAAAAUCUCUAAAUUUUGAUUGCAGACUUUGGUAUCUUGGCAAGUCGGAGCACAGUUUGAGACAUGUCAGGCUCAGUUCAGACGUUGGAAGGGAUGAGUGAUAUGCUGUGUGGCCUUAAAGACGUGCUGGUUGAACGUACGACGCUGAAAAUGUGCCGAAUGCUUGGGAAAGGAGAGUUUGGGGCUGUUUAUGAAGGCAUAUUUUCCCCACAAAGAGGACAAGAUAUCAGAGUGGCUGUGAAAACCUCAAAAGAAGCAAUCCACAAUAAAGAAGAUCUGGAGUCCUUCCUCAAGGAGGCAGAAAUUAUGAAGCAUUUCAAUCAUCCGAAUGUAGUUAAAUUGCUUGGUGUUGUACUAGAGCGGAAUCCGGAGUCCUCCAUCAUUUUACCACUUGUUAUUCUUCCAUACAUGAAACAUAGAGACCUACACAGCUUCCUCAAAGCAACCCGCCUUGGUGAUGUUCCCAUGUGUUUGCCAUAUCAGAGACUUCUGCAUUUUAUGAUUGACAUUGCUGCAGGAAUGGAGUAUCUCAGCCUUGUGGGUUUUAUACACAGAGACCUGGCUGCCCGCAAUUGCAUGUUGGGAGUCUGUGGCUGACUUUGGCCUCUCUAAGAAGAUCUAUUACAUUAACUACUAUAGGCAUAAGAACAGGACUAUUAAAUUGCCUGUAAGGUGGAUGGCAAUAGAGAGUGUGUCUGACAACAUAUUCACCACCAAGAGUGAUGUGUGGUCUUUUGGAAUAACCAUGUGGGAGAUCACAUCCAGGGGGAAGCUACCUUAUCCAGGUGUCUCCAAUCAUGAGCUCCUGGACCUCUUGGAAAAAGGACACCGUCUCAGACAAGGGGACAAUGAUAGCAAAUUAUAUGAGGUUAUGCUGAGCUGCUGGCACAGAGAUCCCUCUCAGAGGUCAGAUUUUGGAGAGCUGGGCCAGAGCCUCAAAGCACUUCUGUCUGAGCUUCCACCACUGGAGGCCAACAAGGAGGCUCACUACAUCUGCCUGGGCCUGGAGGCAGCCAGCGAUCACCAGGACAGCGCAGAGGCCCUGGAGCCUGAGGUGGAGGGGAUGUUAUAAUAAACAACACAUUGCACUACUGUGCAAUAAACGUUUUUGUGAUCACACUAGGCCUUUAUUAGUAUAUAUUUCAGUAUUAUGAUGAGAUUUUAGUUCUUCAAAUGACAUUACACUUUGCAUAUAAAAGUUUCAUUGCUAGAAGGAAAUAAGAAAACCUGUUUUUAAUUCUUUGUGAUUCAUAUUUUUAUUUUUUUUACUUCACUGUCAAUGUUGUAUUUUUGUACUUUGUAUAUCAAAGAUUCCAAAUGGUGGGAGGUUUGGAAAAUGCCAGACAUCACAAAUUAAACAGCUCAGGACAUUUUAA
This is an RNA transcript of Ctenopharyngodon idella (grass carp), 1595 nucleotides long. It is a transcript of the gene named tyrosine-protein kinase receptor UFO, with no coding region annotated. The transcript has 9 exons. The record is from RefSeq and is a predicted model, not a curated record. NCBI's taxonomy places the organism in Eukaryota, Metazoa, Chordata, Actinopteri, Cypriniformes, Xenocyprididae.